UAAAGAAUGAACACUUGCCAUCAUCCAA
RNAcentral lists this non-coding RNA (28 nucleotides) under Mus musculus (house mouse). The record is from RNAcentral. Lineage: Eukaryota; Metazoa; Chordata; Mammalia; Rodentia; Muridae.